GAUGAACGCUGGCGGCGUGCCUAAUACAUGCAAGUCGAGCGAACAGACGAGGAGCUUGCUCCUCUGACGUUAGCGGCGGACGGGUGAGUAACACGUGGAUAACCUACCUAUAAGACUGGGAUAACUUCGGGAAACCGGAGCUAAUACCGGAUAAUAUAUUGAACCGCAUGGUUCAAUAGUGAAAGACGGUUUUGCUGUCACUUAUAGAUGGAUCCGCGCCGCAUUAGCUAGUUGGUAAGGUAACGGCUUACCAAGGCAACGAUGCGUAGCCGACCUGAGAGGGUGAUCGGCCACACUGGAACUGAGACACGGUACAGACUCCUACGGGAGGCAGCAGUAGGGAAUCUUCCGCAAAGGGCGAAAGCCUGACGGAGCAACGCCGCGUGAGUGAUGAAGGUCUUCGGAUCGUAAAACUCUGUUAUUAGGGAAGAACAAAUGUGUAAGUAACUAUGCACGUCUUGACGGUACCUAAUCAGAAGGCCACGGCUAACUACGUG
This 497-nucleotide ribosomal RNA is filed under the name uncultured bacterium. RNAcentral describes it as "partial 16S ribosomal RNA". It matches the Rfam family "Bacterial small subunit ribosomal RNA", at positions 28 to 507 of the family's 1533-position model. The record is from RNAcentral.